UGCUGGUCUUUAAAAUGCCACUUUCAACGGGAUACAAAGGAACCCUUGGCCCCUGUGACAGCUGGACUCUUAUUACCAGGGGCACAACUUGUGCUUCUGCUCAUGGGCAUGGCUACUUACCAACCUAAGAGUCCCAGCUGAGAGCAUGGUAAGUGCUGGGAAAAACUCCAAAGGUUUGGAUUGAAGAGAAGAGAUGUAAUGCCCAUACAUGGGGGUAAAAAAGCAUGAGAGAUUGAUUGGGAAUCAUGCAUUCAGCCUACAGCCAUUAAAGGGAAACAAAAAACAAGACCAUCUUACAGCAAGGAGACAUGUUUCCUGUGGUGUUCUGCUGGCUUCAUGAGAUUAAUGACCUCAGCACUUCACAGAUAAGUCUUUCUGUGUGAAUGCGAUCUUCUCCUGUGUGCACAAGGGCACACAGCCACUAAAAAAACCAUGCAUGAGAAAGAAUGGAUGAUAACACUACCAGUGAAACUGAGGUCUUGAGCAUUCUCAUUAGAGAUGCCAUUGUUUUGUGUAAAGUGUAGAUUUCAAUAUAUUCAGUAAAGGUGAUUAAAAUUCUGAGUUUUCCUACAUGGUAAGCCUUGCCACUCUGAUCAAAUUGACCUUGUGAAAUUCUGUGUCCAUGAGAUCCCAAGAUACAGUUUUGGAGAUCUCAGCUUUGACGUGUGGCUUCAGCUGUGGCAGUGUACUGCUAACAUGCUUAUUCUAACAACCAAGGGGAAAAAUGUCCAGAUCUUUGCAUAUUAAUUCCUAAAAGGGUACUGAUAUGGCUUCAAAUGUCAGGCCACUCUAGCAUUUUUCUGGAUGUUUGAUCACUUCAGGCAUACUUUGGUGAUGUCAUUCAAAUAUUUCUCAAAAAACUGUUGUUACAAAGAAAAAGUUAUUGCAGUGUUACUUAGCACCAUGGCAUUGCCAAACCACCUAGAUGGUCUUGGGGAACUUCCUUCAGAGGAUGGAAGGUAGAGGAAUGGGUUCUCUCUCAUCUCCCAUCAGCCUUUCUUACCACUUUCUUACCACUUACCACUUUCUGACCACUUUGGGAGCAGCUCCUGUCCAUUGAAAACUUCAGCCUUGCCUUGAAGCUGCAGAGUGCCAUGGCAGGCUUCAGAGCCACCUCCUCCUGCUUCUGGGAGGAAGACCCUACUGUAGUGCCUCCUGUGCUCCCUUCAGGGCACACCCAGACACACCACACACACACACUUGCUGUGUCCCAGGAUGUUCUGAGGAGUGCAGAGCACAUUUUCUGUAGGAAGACAGGAAGUUACGCAGCCCUCCUCCAGCUCUGCAUGAGUCAAAAGCUCUGAAAAGUCUGCAUUGUCAGGACAGGAUUGAUCGGCAUCAGCAUGACAGCAGUGACACUCAGUACGUGUUAGACAUUAAUGUACAACACCUCUCAUCUCUACAGAGUGUGGUACAGAGGAAGGGAGGACCACAAAUGGCAUGUUUUGAGGUAGAAAACAGCUGAUUCCAUUCAUGGAGGGGUCAAAAUAAUCUUCAACAUUAAUAAUGACUUUUUAAUUCAUGUUUUCCAGUGCUAGUGAAGCCCAACUGAUAUAUGAACAGUGUUUUAAAACCAAAUUCUUGUUCUUGUCAGGAAGCCCCAAUUCAAGAUGCACUGAUCCAUUCCUUCCCACAGUGAGAUUAGGAAUUUGUUGGAAAGAGGGAUGUGCACCGAACAUGCCACCACAGUCCAGCGUGUCCUGCUAUAGCAGCACAGAUAGGAGCCUUGAGAAAACUUCUGUAUGUUACCCAUUUGUCACAGCAUCUUCUCUGUGGUGAGAUUUGCCAGUGGAGCUUUGAUGGCUUGUCCUCCUGUAGAUGGUCAUCCCGAGAGAGAGGACUUCACUCUCAGCUGAGCUGGAAAACAGAGGAAACAGAUUCCAAAUCUGACUAGUCCAGAUCUCACUAGCAUCUUUUGAUCCCGUUUCCUCCAAUCCUCCUCCAGCACUGGAUGCCUGCAGUUCCUCGGAAGGCAGCAAAGGACAAAGCAAGGGCCCAGAUUUGCAGCCUGGAAACAUUUCUUUGGUUUCCAGAGGCUUAUCCCUAUCUCCCCAUACUGUAUGGAGGGAUAUAGAUAAAUUAUGUAAUCCUUCCUGAACACUGGAGGCUCUCCUGAUGUACAGAACUAGCAGGGACACGAUGUGUGCCCAAAAGCAUGAGGAAGCCUAGCCCAACUGUAGCAGAAAAAUGCUCCUUACAGUGCACUCAGACAUGGGAAUAAGUGCCCAUGGGAACUGGUGGAAGCCCCUCACUUGUAUCUUUGAGUUAUGUAGGAAUAUAUUUUUUCACACAAUACUGCAUCUGAAAGAAUUCUCUGCAGGCAAAAAUUGCAUAAAGUCCACUUCAAAGGUUUUUGUUUCUUUAAGAAAAAAAGACAGUGACUUUGUGGUAUUUCUGGCUAAAUUGUAUUUCUUCGUGUGUGUAUUUACACACACAUUCAUAUGGUCAGGGCCAGCAUCCAGAUGACAAAUGUGAGAAUUAUUAUUAUUCUUAAAAUGUGUGUGUCUGUGUAUUUUUUAUUUGGUAGUAUUUAGUAGAACUGCUAAUGGUGGUGUGGUUAUAAAUCUUCCUUUAGGAGUUUAUAACAUAAUGUAAAGGACAAUUUAUCUCUGUUCUAAUUAAUGCCUACACAAUGUUUAAUUUGAAUGGUUUCAAAAUAAAUUGGGGGAAAAAAAAGUUGGUCUCAUUUAAGUGACAAGAUGACAUGAUUUUUUUUUCCCAAUCAAUUAGUGCUUUGAAGCACAACUAACAAAUUACAUUUUGAAGCAAGAGAAACUUUACAGAACAAACUGACUUUUUGAUUGCAAGUAUUAAAAGAAAUAACAUGCCACAUAUUUUCCUUGAAAAAUGUUCUGCUUAAUAUAGGAUUUGACUGUGCAAUCCUUACUCAUAUAGAGACAAAAGGGAUUUUGCUGGUAUGGGAUGAAGGUGCAAGAGAGAGCCCAGUGCAGUACUGGCAGGACUUCACUGCAAAAAGCUAUUGGCUGCUGUUUACAUUUCUGACAUUCUCUGAGUAAGUGUUGUCACAACAGACAAGCAAUUAUAGACAAUAAUGUCAGUAAUUUGUGGAUUAAGAACUCCUUAAGGAUGUAUUGGCACGGCCAGACAGUAGCUGCUUUUAGCUUGCAACUGUUCACCCUCGGCUGUGCCAGUGAAACUGUAACUUUCAAGAAGAAAUUGUGCUCCCUCUUAGGCAGCAAACAAUGGCAGGGGUUAAACUUCUCUAGGCCCUCCCUGCCUCUCUUACAGCCCUCAUCCAGGCAGCUCAACCUCAAAGGGCCACUUUUUAAUAGGCGUGCACAUAAAAUGGAAAUAUAGGCCAUUAUGUUGGAGACAUGCUGUGCUAGGUGCUUGCCAACAAAGCCAGAAAAAAUCAGAUUUUGAGAUUCCAGUACUAUAAAUACACCUGUAGGAACCUCAGCCAAAGUCCAAGCCCCAGCACGCUGUGGUGGAGGGCGCAGGACCUGUGCUGACCCUCUGACUCACCACUUGGGACACCCAUGGCUCAGGCCAUGCUCCAUAUUAGCUUAUGCAAAUCCUGUACUGUGGGAAACAUGCCCUGCUGAGAAAAUGAUUUGAUUAUUUUGAGGAUCAACGAGAAAUAUUCAAAUGUAGUUUGCUCUUUUUUAAAAGAAAUUAAAAAAUACCGCCUCAAAACAUGCACAGAAACGAUGUGUACUUUGAGGGUCAAAUUAAAUACAAAUACACUUUGUUUGUCCUUUGUGCUACUGCUCUUCUGGUUUUAUUUCAAAACAAACCAUCCAGAAAAUUAGAGUGUGUUUAGGAAAUUGACUCGUGGUGAGGGGAAAUUUAUCUUAGUAAGGCUGUAUAUGCGUAAAGUAGUGGGUGGGCUAGAGGAGUUUAGGAAAAACAAGAAGUGGGGUUUUUUUUAAUCAAGUCAUUUUUUUAUUUUAUAGGGGGAAUUUUCACAGAAAUUCCUUGAAAGGUUUUAACUAUAAAGUUAGAUAAUGAAAGAAUAUUGAUUGGGUACCAUUAACCUUUUUCUCCCAAAGGCAGAUUUGCCUUUGAACACGAAGUACGUCAUACGCCUGGCUGCCAACACCAGUUUUACAACUCCAGAGAACACGGGUUAAUUUUGCUGCUUCUGCUUACUAAUUCGCCAUCUUUUCACGAAAAUGUUGUAAAAGACCUUUUUCAAAAGCCUAUUUCUCCCGGGCUCCGUGGCUGCAGGCGAGCUUGCUGGGCGUACAGGGCUCCUCCAGCAGUGUCUGGGAUGUGAAGUCUGACCCCACGCAGGACGGCAGUGCCCUGCUCCCCAUCCAGGGUGGGCACCAGCUGGCCCACCGUGCCCUCAGUGACUGACCCAGCCAGGGCUGCUGCCAGGCUGCUGCCUCCUCCUCAAGCAGGAGACAGCCUUAAGAAAUGGCACUCGGCCCCCACAGUGAAAGCAGCCUUUUGUCGGCACCUCCUUCACACACGUGGGGACUCGUUGGUCUUUUGCUGGGUUUAUCAGUAGUUUCUGGUGGCUUAAGUACAUCCUGAAGAUGAUAUGCACUUCGAAUGCACUUAAGAUUUUUAAGAGGCCGCGUUUGGUGCUCCUGGUGUCCCUGCAGCCCCCAGCCUGUGCCCGAGCAGAGGCUGAUCUAAUUUCACACUCCUGGAAGCGAGGCAGAAGGCUGAGUACCCAGUACACAUGCUGGAUCUUUUCCUUGAGUCUUCUCUCCCCUCCCCACUCCCGUUCCCCCACGAUAAAACUCUGCGAAGUCCCUCUUCGCCGUUCUGCAUCUUUUUUAGUUUGGAAAUAUCCUUUACGGGCCCAGGCCACGAGCGGCCCUUCCGAGCCUGCCCAUGCCCGAGGGGCCGCGCUGCCUCAGCGCCAGCGGCUCCGACCCCGCAUCCCUGCCCCGCAUCCCUGCCCCGCAUC
Molecule: long non-coding RNA, 4885 nt
Organism: Motacilla alba alba
Lineage: Eukaryota; Metazoa; Chordata; Aves; Passeriformes; Motacillidae
Exons: 4
Source: RefSeq, a predicted model, not a curated record